GUUCGAGCAGUGGUUAAGGUUCAAGCCCUGCCAGCUGGUCAGGUGACAGGAAGGGGAAGGUCAGAACCAUAUAAGCCACAAGUGGAGAAGAACAGGGAGGCAGCAGAGAGGGAGACUCCUUUUGACUAUGGAGCAGCUGCAGCAGCCUCCUUGGGAAGAAUAUGCCAUGCUGUGAGACAGAAGCACAAGUACAUACAAACAUGGCUACCAAAUACGUUGCUGAAACAUGGAAGAUGCCAAAUUUUCGCCGAUUUUGGAUUCAAACUUAAUUGCUGAACAACAAGAAAGAUUUCUACAUCUCCCUGCCUUUCUGCCAUCUGACACCACCAGGGAAUGAAUCCUGCCUUAUCUGCACAUCAAAGAGCAGCUCACAAAGACACUCAUGGACCUAGAGUUUGAAUCAGUAAUUCCAUUGAUUAGCACAGAGAUUCUCACCGAUGGAACUGAAGACAAGUUUGACUCUAACUAUACCGGUAAUUACCUCAAUAUUCAAAACCGGUAUUUCAAAUACUCAAAUCUAUUAUUUGACAAGACUUGACUCAUCAAACUGGAUGAAAUUCAUUGAUCAGGAAAAAGAGCUGGCAACUGAAUCAAUCUAGACUGUAAAGGUCAGAAUUAAGCCUGUAUUAAUUCUUCACUGGAAAUAAAUGUGCUCAUA
This is a long non-coding RNA of Alligator mississippiensis (American alligator), 658 nucleotides long. RefSeq lists it as uncharacterized. The transcript has 3 exons. NCBI's taxonomy places the organism in Eukaryota, Metazoa, Chordata, Crocodylia, Alligatoridae. The record is from RefSeq and is a predicted model, not a curated record.